This 525-nucleotide ribosomal RNA is filed under the name Triticum aestivum (bread wheat). RNAcentral's name for it is "partial small subunit ribosomal RNA". Lineage: Eukaryota; Viridiplantae; Streptophyta; Magnoliopsida; Poales; Poaceae. The record is from RNAcentral.
AUGAACGAACAGACGAAGCUGGUAGUUCAGGCAACAACACUGAUAGUUGUGAUUCAGGCAUGGGCCUUAUUGAUCCACAAGAGAGAUGUUAGUCGUGGUGACAAGCCUGUCAUCUGUUAUGCUGCAAUAUUAACCCGUGAUCAGGAGGGGAUAUCGAAUUUGAACUACAUCCACAACUGCAAUGACACAGAGACUCUGUGGUUGCUUAUGAAAAGAGCACGUUUUGCCACACUUGUGUAGACCUUCAGAAGCAGGGGGCUGCUACGAGAUAUCAUUCACACUAGUGUGGAAGAGCAAGUUGCCAUGUCCCUCCAUAUUGUCGGUCAUAACCAGAGGUUCAGGGUUAUCCACAACACGUUCAGGAGAUCAAUGGAGACCAUUUACAGGUACUUCAGGCAAGCGUUGUACGUUGUUGACGAACUCAGAGGAGAGAUGAUCAGGUCACCAACCGGACGGACUCCUAGCAAGAUUCGCACUAGUCCAAGAUGGUAUCCAUAUUUCAAGGUGAGCACUGACAGUAUGUAG